Molecule: ribosomal RNA, 425 nt
Filed under: uncultured bacterium
Lineage: Bacteria
Description: bacterial SSU rRNA
Rfam family: Bacterial small subunit ribosomal RNA
Source: RNAcentral
GCGAACGGGUGAGUAAUGAAUCGGAACGUGCCCGGUAGUGGGGGAUAACCAGUCGAAAGACUGGCUAAUACCGCAUACGACCUACGGGUGAAAGCGGGGGACCGUAAGGCCUCGCGCUAUCGGAGCGGCCGAUUUCCGAUUAGCUAGUUGGUGAGGUAAAGGCUCACCAAGGCGAUGAUCGGUAGCUGGUCUGAGAGGACGGCCAGCCACACUGGGACUGAGACACGGUCCAGACUCAUACGGGAGGCAGCAGUGGGGAAUUUUGGACAAUGGGCGAAAGCCUGAUCCAGCCAUGCCGCGUGUCUGAAGAAGGCCUUCGGGUUGUAAAGGACUUUUGUCGAGGAGCAAACCUCUGUGGCUAAUAUCCACGGAGCUGAGAGUACUCGAAGAAUAAGCACCGGCUAACUACGUGCCAGCCGGCGCGG